GGGGGUGUUUGCACGGCUGGUGCCGGCCCUGGUCUUCAAAACCUGUGGACCCCUUGAAUAGAGGGGUCAGAGGGUUCGAUUCCCUUACACUCCCGC
This 96-nucleotide transfer RNA is filed under the name Gemmataceae bacterium. Its description in RNAcentral is "tRNA-Sec". It matches the Rfam family "Selenocysteine transfer RNA". Lineage: Bacteria; Pseudomonadati; Planctomycetota; Planctomycetia; Gemmatales; Gemmataceae. The record is from RNAcentral.